This 496-nucleotide ribosomal RNA is filed under the name uncultured bacterium. RNAcentral's name for it is "partial 16S ribosomal RNA". It matches the Rfam family "Bacterial small subunit ribosomal RNA", at positions 28 to 506 of the family's 1533-position model. The record is from RNAcentral.
GAUGAACGCUGGCGGCGUGCCUAAUACAUGCAAGUCGAGCGAACAGACGAGGAGCUUGCUCCUUUGACGUUAGCGGCGGACGGGUGAGUAACACGUAGAUAACCUACCUAUCAGACUGGGAUAACUUCGGGAAACCGGAGCUAAUACCGGAUAAUAUUUCGAACCGCAUUGUUCGAUAGUGAAAGAUGGCUUUGCUAUCACUUAUAGAUGGACCUGCGCCGUAUUAGCUAGUUGGUAAGGUAACGGCUUACCAAGGCAACGAUACCUAGCCGACCUGAGAGGGUGAUCGGCCACACUGGAACUGAGACACGGCACAGACUCCUACGGGAGGCAGCAGUAGGGAAUCUUCCGCAAUGGGAGAAAGCCUGACGGAGCAACGCCGCGUGAGUGAUGAAGGUCUUCGGAUCGUAAAACUCUGUUAUUAGGGAAGAACAAACGUGUAAGUAACUGUGCACGUCUUGACGGUACCUAAUCAGAAAGCCACGGCUAACUACGU